GACAAAACACCACCGUCCGAAACAAUCCGUCCGAACCGAACUGGAUUUUGGCAAACGGGUCGGAUAAUUUCGGGUUGCGGAUUCCAACGGUUCAUUGAUUUGGAUUACAUCGGAUGAUUACGGACGAGUUCGGUUGGUAUUAUUUGGUCCGUCGGAAUCCGAAUCCGACCGAACAUACACAUAUGAGAGCUGGACUUUCAGAGCUGGACUUUCAAUUAAUCUUGGCCCAAGCUAUCUCUCAAUUUAUGGCCCAGAGUAAAUGUUCAUAAAGGAAGCUUCGUUGUCGUCGCUCGCCGUCGCUUGCAAACCUAUCUGUUGCAUAUCUAUUCGUUCCUCUCUGAUCCAUGAUUAAGUUUUUUGUAUUUCUCUUGUGCAGAUCUACGACUUCAAUCGCAUUCCUUGGAGCUCUUAAUCUCAUAGAUAUAUUAUAUUAUGGUUUGGUUUGUUUUUGUAACAGGGAAGGGCUUUAUAACAAGCAGAAGAAGCAGGGAUUUGAAGCAUGAAGCAUAUUUGAAGCUGAUCUGAUGUAGAUUUGAAGCUGAUCAGAUCUGAAGGGGAUUUGAAGUAGAUCUGAAUGGGAUUGGAAACAGAUCUAAAGCAAGGAUUAUUUAGUUAAAAACUAUGUUUGAUUAUGCAGAUCUGGGUGAUGAACUAAUUUUCACCAUAAGAGGCGAUUCAACUGCUUGAAUGAAAUGAAGACAACAUGUGGAUAAAUAUCUGCAACAAGUUGACUUCUAUAAGCAUGGCUUUAGUGAUUCUAAAGGGGUAGUGAACUUGAGUGUUUUUACUACUUGGAAUCACAUUUUCUGAAGCAUUAUUACUUGAAAUCACAUUUUCCAGAAUAUUUUGAUGAUUUAAACAGUGGGAUUUUAGUGGCAGAUGAUUUAAGCUGUGAAUUUCAUGAAGUUCUUGUAGGAGAAUUCUGUUUCAAAACUGUCUUAUUUUUUUUUUUGUAUUUUUGAUGAUUUAUUAUUUUGUAUGAAAAAAUGGAACACAAUAGUGUUCUAAAUAAAAAUAACCAUAUUGUGUUGUAAUUGGGCCAUUUUUGAAAACAUGAAAUAUGUUGUAUGAAAAAAAUCGAACACA
Vicia villosa (hairy vetch) is the source of this 1086-nucleotide long non-coding RNA. RefSeq lists it as uncharacterized. The transcript is spliced from 6 exons. The record is from RefSeq and is a predicted model, not a curated record. NCBI's taxonomy places the organism in Eukaryota, Viridiplantae, Streptophyta, Magnoliopsida, Fabales, Fabaceae.